GCCGAAGUGGUGAAAUUGGUAGACACGCCACCUUGAGGGGGUGGUGAGCGCAUGCUCGUGGAGGUUCGAGUCCUCUCUUCGGCACCA
This 87-nucleotide transfer RNA is filed under the name Gammaproteobacteria bacterium. RNAcentral describes it as "tRNA-Leu". It matches the Rfam family "tRNA". From Rfam's summary of the family: Transfer RNA (tRNA) molecules are approximately 80 nucleotides in length. Their secondary structure includes four short double-helical elements and three loops (D, anti-codon, and T loops). Further hydrogen bonds mediate the characteristic L-shaped molecular structure. tRNAs have two regions of fundamental functional importance: the anti-codon, which is responsible for specific mRNA codon recognition, and the 3' end, to which the tRNAs corresponding amino acid is attached (by aminoacyl-tRNA synthetases). tRNAs cope with the degeneracy of the genetic code in two manners: having more than one tRNA (with a specific anti-codon) for a particular amino acid; and 'wobble' base-pairing, i.e. permitting non-standard base-pairing at the 3rd anti-codon position. Lineage: Bacteria; Pseudomonadati; Pseudomonadota; Gammaproteobacteria. The record is from RNAcentral.